GGGAACGAUAACGGCGUCGAGCGGCGGACGGGUGAGUAAUGCCUAGGAAAUUGCCCUGAUGUGGGGGAUAACCAUUGGAAACGAUGGCUAAUACCGCAUAAUGCCUACGGGCCAAAGAGGGGGACCUUCGGGCCUCUCGCGUCAGGAUAUGCCUAGGUGGGAUUAGCUAGUUGGUGAGGUAAGGGCUCACCAAGGCGACGAUCCCUAGCUGGUCUGAGAGGAUGAUCAGCCACACUGGAACUGAGACACGGUCCAGACUCCUACGGGAGGCAGCAGUGGGGAAUAUUGCACAAUGGGCGCAAGCCUGAUGCAGCCAUGCCGCGUGUGUGAAGAAGGCCUUCGGGUUGUAAAGCACUUUCAGUCGUGAGGAAGGUAGUGUAGUUAAUAGCUGCAUUAUUUGACGUUAGCGACAGAAGAAGCACCGGCUAACUCCGUGCCAGCAGCCGCGGUAAUACGGAGGGUGCGAGCGUUAAUCGGAAUUACUGGGCGUAAAGCGCAU
Molecule: ribosomal RNA, 499 nt
Filed under: Vibrio sp.
Lineage: Bacteria; Pseudomonadati; Pseudomonadota; Gammaproteobacteria; Vibrionales; Vibrionaceae
Description: bacterial SSU rRNA
Rfam family: Bacterial small subunit ribosomal RNA
Source: RNAcentral